GAUGAACGCUGGCGGCGUGCCUAAUACAUGCAAGUCGAGCGAACGGACGAGAAGCUUGCUUCUCUGAUGUUAGCGGCGGACGGGUGAGUAACACGUGGAUAACCUACCUAUAAGACUGGGAUAACUUCGGGAAACCGGAGCUAAUACCGGAUAAUAUUUUGAACCGCAUGGUUCAAAAGUGAAAGACGGUCUUGCUGUCACUUAUAGAUGGAUCCGCGCUGCAUUAGCUAGUUGGUAAGGUAACGGCUUACCAAGGCAACGAUGCAUAGCCGACCUGAGAGGGUGAUCGGCCACACUGGAACUGAGACACGGUCCAGACUCCUACGGGAGGCAGCAGUAGGGAAUCUUCCGCAAUGGGCGAAAGCCUGACGGAGCAACGCCGCGUGAGUGAUGAAGGUCUUCGGAUCGUAAAGCUCUGUUAUUAGGGAAGAACAUAUGUGUAAGAAACUGUGCACAGCUUGACGGUACCUAAUCAGAAAGCCACGGCUAACUACGUG
RNAcentral lists this ribosomal RNA (497 nucleotides) under uncultured bacterium. Its description in RNAcentral is "partial 16S ribosomal RNA". It matches the Rfam family "Bacterial small subunit ribosomal RNA", at positions 28 to 507 of the family's 1533-position model. The record is from RNAcentral.